UACGUAGGGUGCAAGCGUUGUCCGGAAUUAUUGGGCGUAAAGAGCUCGUGGAGCGGUUUGUUGCGUCGGCUGUGAAAUCCCGAGGCUCAACCUCGGGUCUGCAGUCGAUACGAGCAAACUAGAGUGUUGCAGGGGAGACUGGAAUUCCUGGUGUAGCGGUGAAAUGCGCAGAUAUCAGGAGGAACACCGGUGGCGAAGGCGGGUCUCUGGGCCGAUACUGACGCUGGAGGAGCGAAAGCGUGGGGAGCGAACAGG
This 255-nucleotide ribosomal RNA is filed under the name uncultured bacterium. Its description in RNAcentral is "partial 16S ribosomal RNA". It matches the Rfam family "Bacterial small subunit ribosomal RNA", at positions 524 to 776 of the family's 1533-position model. The record is from RNAcentral.